Molecule: non-coding RNA, 46 nt
Organism: Schistosoma margrebowiei
Lineage: Eukaryota; Metazoa; Platyhelminthes; Trematoda; Strigeidida; Schistosomatidae
Source: Rfam
GCACUGCUGAAGAGUCCCACAAUAGAACGGAACAACCGUCCAGUGC